CCUACGGGGGGCAGCAGUGGGGAAUAUUGCACAAUGGGGGAAACCCUGAUGCAGCGACGCCGCGUGAGUGAAGAAGUAUUUCGGUAUGUAAAGCUCUAUCAGCAGGGAAGAAAAUGACGGUACCUGAUUAAGAAGCCCCGGCUAACUACGUGCCAGCAGCCGCGGUAAUACGUAGGGGGCAAGCGUUAUCCGGAUUUACUGGGUGUAAAGGGGGCGUAGACGGCAGCACAAGUCUGGAGUGAAAUGCCGGGGCUUAACCCCGGAACUGCUUUGGAAACUGUGCAGCUAGAGUGCAGGAGAGGUAAGUGGAAGUCCUAGUGUAGCGGUGAAAUGCGUAGAUAUUAGGAGGAACAACAGUGGCGAAGGCGGCUUACUGGACUGUAACUGACGUUGAGGCUCGAAAGCGUGGGGAGCAAACAGGAUUAGAUACCCGGGUAGUC
This 440-nucleotide ribosomal RNA is filed under the name uncultured bacterium. Its description in RNAcentral is "partial 16S ribosomal RNA". It matches the Rfam family "Bacterial small subunit ribosomal RNA", at positions 338 to 795 of the family's 1533-position model. The record is from RNAcentral.